GCGGGAAGAAGCUUCAAAUUUGAAAUCUGGUGGCCUCAGGUCAUCCGAGUUGUAAUCUAUAGAAGUGUUUUCCGUGCUGGCUCAUGUACAAGUCCCUUGGAACAGGGCGUCAUAGAGGGUGAGAAUCCCGUCCUUGACAUGAACUACCAGUGCUCUGUGAUACAUUUUCAACGAGUCGAGUUGUUUGGGAAUGCAGCUCAAAAUGGGUGGUAAAUUCCAUCUAAAGCUAAAUAUUGGCGAGAGACCGAUAGCGAACAAGUACCGUGAGGGAAAGAUGAAAAGCACUUUGGAAAGAGAGUUAAACAGUAUGUGAAAUUGUUAAAAGGGAAACGAUUGAAGUCAGUCGUGCUCUUUGGAUUCAGCCGGUUCUGCCGGUGUACUUCCUUUGAGUGGGGUCAACAUCAGUUUUGAUCGCUGGAUAAAGGCUGGAGGAACGUAGCACCCUCGGGUGAACUUAUAGCCUCCUGUCACAUACAGUGGUUGGGACUGAGGAACGCAGCACGCCUUUAUGGCCGGGAUUCGUCCACGUACGUGCUUAGGAUGUUGACAUAAUGGCUUUAAACGACCCGUCUUG
This 574-nucleotide ribosomal RNA is filed under the name Filobasidium chernovii. RNAcentral describes it as "partial large subunit ribosomal RNA". It matches the Rfam family "Eukaryotic large subunit ribosomal RNA", at positions 97 to 656 of the family's 3401-position model. Lineage: Eukaryota; Fungi; Basidiomycota; Tremellomycetes; Filobasidiales; Filobasidiaceae. The record is from RNAcentral.